AGACUGCUUGGAGUUGGAGGGCGACUGCCCUCUCGAUCACUUUGCCCAAAAAUGAUAAAAGUUAGCUCUAGCGUAUAUUAGUCAUGCUUGAUCCUUCAUAAGCAAUACGCAUGUUUUCAUGUUGUCAAAAGCCAAAAGGAAAUAACAGGGAGUGAAAUUAACAGAAUACCAUUGAAUUUUUUCCUGCCACAACAGGCUACUAAUGUCACCGUCUGGAUAAAACAUUUUCUGUGAAAAUAACAGUCGUGGAGAUGGUAUCCAAUCAAGGGCAUGGAGGAAGAUAGUACCUAUGCCUUGGCCUUCUGUGACAGUGUGGCCUCAACCCCUUGCCACCCCUGAGGCAUUUGGCAGUGGGCAAUGGAAAAAGUGGCAGUGGAGCCUGUUUUCAUAGCCUUUCUUUCUCAGGAGCCGGUGUGGUCUACUCAGUCUACCUCCUUCAUACGCUUUGCAUUUCUCCUCAACUCCCGGGCGACAUGUAAAGUGCAGGAACGGGAGCAGAGUUCAACAUUCUCGU
Long non-coding RNA from Sceloporus undulatus (fence lizard), 514 nucleotides. RefSeq lists it as uncharacterized. The transcript has 3 exons. The record is from RefSeq and is a predicted model, not a curated record. NCBI's taxonomy places the organism in Eukaryota, Metazoa, Chordata, Lepidosauria, Squamata, Phrynosomatidae.